RNAcentral lists this ribosomal RNA (119 nucleotides) under Cucumis melo (muskmelon). RNAcentral also lists the same sequence under 1 other name. Lineage: Eukaryota; Viridiplantae; Streptophyta; Magnoliopsida; Cucurbitales; Cucurbitaceae. The record is from RNAcentral.
GAGUGCGAUUAUAGUAGCACUGAUGCACUAGAUUCCAUCAGAACUUCGCAGUUAAAUGUGCUUGAAUGAGAGUAGUACUAAAUUGGGUGACCACUUGGUAACUCCUGGUCUUACACCCC